ACCAAAUGAUACAGUUCACAUUGACAUAUAAAUGCAGAUCAGUGUUUUCGUCCAUUUUCUUUGGAUCCAUUUGUUGUUCUCGUGAACGUCUGUCUGGAACUUCUCUUGUUUUUCUCGCCUCCCCCUCUCUCUCCCCUCUCUCUCCCCUCCUCCCCUCCCUGAAACACUAAAAAUAGAUGGUCCUCAGAGCUGGCAGACAGAUUGGACAAGUCGAACGCUUUGAGCCUCAGUUCACGGAAUUAACUUUCUCCUUGACUGACAAUAGUACCUGGUUCUUUGUUCCCCUGCAGCCAACCCCCCCAGUGUAGAUCCGCAGGCUGUCGGUCACUGUGUUCAUCCAGAAACACAAAAUAAAAACACUUUUUUUUUUAACCAAAUCACACAGAGGCAGGUUGUUGUUGUUGUUGUUUUCAAUAAAUCCAUGCAACUCAGAUUUCUUUUUAGGUUUUAGGAUUCAUGUACAAGUUGUCUUCAUCCAGAGUGUUUACCAGGUUACGUGACUCCAGAGAGUCACAAGGCAGGCACAGACCUUUUAAAGCUGAACACGCUGGGGCCUCACCUGACUAUCAAUCACUUUGAGCUGGAGCUAACGUGACUGUUUAUCUAUGUGCACAGCUUUAAAACAUGGUUAUAAUUAGCUGCUGUGCUAUUUGAACACUUUUCAAGUUCAUUGCAUUACAAUUGUAAUGAUCAUAUCUCUGCUUAGACUUACUUUGUGUGUGUGUGUGUGUGUUUUGGCUUUCAGGGCUGCAGCUGCGUGUUCGCUGCAUUCACGGUGCCAAAUGUUUGGCUGCUGUAUCAUGUUCCCGUGUUAUCCAGCUGAUUUUCAUUGUGGUGACCUGUCGCCCUUUUUUUUUAUUGUGAUAAUAAGCAUAAAUAUAGACACGAGUGGUGAUUAGCAAGUUCCAAACAGAAAGUGACAGAUAAAGACCUCCAGCAAGAAGAAAAUAUAAGAUGGAGAGACAGAUGACUCAGCUUUGCCUUGUUGAGUGACAUAGAAGUGAAAUGGCACAUUUCACAACUUUUUAAAUGUGAUAGGGACAGAACAUGUUCACUGGAGCACAAAAUACAACAAUAGGUCAAAUAUUGAGUUAUAGAUACAAUCAUUAGGUUUACUUAUCUAAAAGCACUGUAUCAUACAGGUGAUCAGUUUGUCGAAAUAUCAAAAAAAUGGGGUUUAUAGUUUUAAUAGGGUGAUGAGUGGUUAGCCCUGUCGCCUCAACGCAAGAAGGUUCCCGGAUUGAGACCUUUCUGUGUGAUGUUUACAUGUUCCCCCCGUGUCUGUGUGGGUUUUCUCUGGUUACUUGGCCCUGCAGUAUGCUGGCGACCUUUCCAGGGUUUACUCAUGCUCUCGUCGCAGGACAGCAUGACCCUCAAAGGAUAAGCGGUAUGGCUAAUGGAUGUUUAACGUUUUUUGUAAAAGUUCAAAACUUUUCCACCAUUUUUUGAUUUUAAUUUCAGCUAUUUAAAACCUCGGUAUUCAAAUUUCAAAUUUGAAUUUAAAUUUGAAUUGGGAUUUGAAUUCAUCCCUGAAAUGAGCUGGUUUUGAACUACAAUAUGAUAGACUUCAUUUGUUAAUUGUCUGCAGCCCUGGGUUAUUGGCUUGUUCUAUAUAACCAUAGCGGUAAUUCUGAAAUGUUAUGAAAUUGAUCUGCAUCAUCACAACUCUGAAAAUGAAUUGACUUGAAACCGAACUGUAUUUUUCUGGAUACCAAACACGUUGUUUUGCUCAGUCCAGACAUCCAUAGUCACAGUUUGAAGACGUUGUGACAACUUUUUUAUAUUUGGCCAGUGGCCCAUGUCGGAUCAGGUGGUCUGCAGUAAUGCUUGGGACCCUUAAAAAGCAUCUGUAUUCCAACACUCCUCCGGUGUACACACUAAUUAUACAACUGAGACAUCGUGGCCACCUCCAUGUCAUCAUUGUUUCCCAGAAGUUAAGCUCUCAUGUUCCACUCAGGGCUUCUUCUCCUCUCUGAUCCUCUGGAGGAACAGUCUGCUCCAGCACCAUGUGACCAUCUGUUUUGAGCUUACAAAUGGCAGCGCACCGGCCUAAACAUGGUUGCUGCAAUGGCUUCUGGAAAUGUGAGCUGCCACCGUGUAGGUCAUCCCUCAGCUGGCAGUCUUGUGCUUUUUUUUGAGGAGCCUAAAGGAGGCCAGCUUGGGCCUUGGCUGUGGACUCACUCCCACACUCAUGUAAGCAGUGGAAUGACCUGCAAAGACUCUGAACCCUUUCUACCACAACCACAAGGAAAUGCCAAGGAAGUGCUCAGUCCUUUUUUUUUAUACAAACCAAACACUUUGCUGAGGGUGAUGAACGUGACCGUGUACAGGUUUCCACACUGCUGCAUCCAGAAGGAGGACAUCACACUCCAUCUAGUGGACAAAACCUUGAACCGACACAAAGGUGCAAAGUGUGCUACAAGCUUGAGUGACAUUGGGAUUUUCUUCUCCAGACCAAAAAAAGGGAUUGAGUUGCAUUUAUUCCAGGUAAAAUUGUAGCUUAUUUAGAGCUUUGAAUUGCAAAUUAACAUACUGCUAAUUUUACUUUCACUACAACACUUUACUGUUAUGACCUACGAUACAUGUGUUCUGUGUUAUUUCUUAUUGGCAAUUUGACAUUUGUGAAAGAAGAUUCUGAAUACUGUCUGAUGUAAGUUGAUGUAUUGUUUCUUAUCUGCCUAAAUUUAGGUUAAAUCACAGAAUCCCAUCUAGUCUUCUUCAUUUGAGACAUUUUGACACGUCACAAUAUGAAAAUCCCAACACAACACAAAACAAUAAAAUGAAUUAUGCUUGGAUGAAAAAGUCAUUAAAUGUUCUUAGUAGUCUGUGUCUUUCAAUACAUAUGGAUACUACAUAAACUUUCAUUCACAUGCUCAUAUACCAUUUCAUAUACCAAGUGUUAGAGUGUGCAGUUAAUAUUGUUUAGAUUUUGAGCCCCUCCUUACUCAAAUGCCUCAAAUGUGUGUCUCCUAUCGAGAGGUGAGUUCACAGUAGUAUUGAGUUCAAAAUAUGACUCUUUUAAGUAAUAAAAAAGAAUAAGUAUUGUCAGUGUGGACGGUAGAAUGUGUUUAACCUGUUUUGUGACUAUUGAAUUAGCAGGAAUUUAAACUGCAGACAUGUUGAAUAUGGUUUGAAAUGUUGAGAGUUAAUAGACUGAGAAGAUGGUUUCAUGAACUGUUGUUGUAUUAGACAGGUAUUUGUAUCAAUAUAUCGGCUUGUAGUGUUUUUUGCAUAAGCAAGGAAAAAAAGUGCUAUAUGAUGUAUUAUAUGUUUUAUCAUACUAUGUUAAUUAUGUUGCUUACUCCUACUGCUCUCUGUAACCAGUGUUUUGAUCAUUUGAAACAAUUGUUUUCACCACACACACCCAGAAAGAUAAGCGAGCAGUCAGUGCUGAAAUAGGUUAGCAGGCCAGAGCUUAGUCGGGGGUUAGUAUGAUGUUAAAAUGGCUUCAGACUGACGCGAGGCUGAGUAAGACCCAUCUGCCACCCUCUGCUCUUCAGCCAUCGCUAAAUGGAUUACACACACAGAGCUCUCAUCUAGAAGUGUGUGUUCUGGGUUGUUGUGGCGUUACAUCUUGGUCUGCUGUGUUUCCUUUCAGCCAGCUGUCCGCUGUGUAGUCUGCCUGCUACUGUGUGGAACCCCACUGCACAUUUAAAGUUAUUAAUGUUGGGGAUAUCCUUUAUGUCAAUGUAGCCUUCAGCCUCAUAGUGUGCAUCGGAUGUAUGCUGAUAUUCACAGUGUAAAGGAUUCUUUGUUUUGUUCAUCCCCAAACUACAUUAAGGAAAACACUUAUAUACUCAUAAUUUUUUUAAUCAAUAAAUCUUUUACCCUUUGCCAU
Hippoglossus stenolepis (Pacific halibut) is the source of this 3838-nucleotide long non-coding RNA. RefSeq lists it as uncharacterized. The transcript is spliced from 2 exons. NCBI's taxonomy places the organism in Eukaryota, Metazoa, Chordata, Actinopteri, Pleuronectiformes, Pleuronectidae. The record is from RefSeq and is a predicted model, not a curated record.